GCAAGAGCUCAAAUUUGAAAUCUGGCCCCUCCGGGGUCCGAGUUGUAAUUUGCAGAGGAUGCUUCGGGUGCGGCCCCUGUCUAAGUGCCCUGGAACGGGCCGUCAGAGAGGGUGAGAAUCCCGUCUUGGGCAGGGUGCCCGUGCCCGUGUGAAGCUCCUUCGACGAGUCGAGUUGUUUGGGAAUGCAGCUCAAAAUGGGUGGUAAAUUUCAUCUAAAGCUAAAUACCGGCCGGAGACCGAUAGCGCACAAGUAGAGUGAUCGAAAGAUGAAAAGCACUUUGAAAAGAGAGUUAAACAGCACGUGAAAUUGUUGAAAGGGAAGCGCUUGCAACCAGACUCGGCCUCGGGGUUCAGCCAGCAUUCGUGCUGGUGUACUUCCCCGGGGCCGGGCCAGCGUCGGUUUGGGCGGCCGGUCAAAGGCCCCAGGAAUGUAUCGUCCUCCGGGACGUCUUAUAGCCUGGGGUGCAAUGCGGCCAGCCUGGACCGAGGAACGCGCUUCGGCACGGACGCUGGCGUAAUGGUCGCAAACGACCCGUCUUG
This 540-nucleotide ribosomal RNA is filed under the name Aspergillus protuberus. Its description in RNAcentral is "eukaryotic LSU rRNA". It matches the Rfam family "Eukaryotic large subunit ribosomal RNA", at positions 101 to 656 of the family's 3401-position model. The record is from RNAcentral. Lineage: Eukaryota; Fungi; Ascomycota; Eurotiomycetes; Eurotiales; Aspergillaceae.